AACGCUGGCGGCGUGCUUAACACAUGCAAGUCGAACGAACCUUCGGGUUAGUGGCGGACGGGUGAGUAACGCGUGAGAAUCUGCCCUCAGGAGGGGGAUAACGGUUGGAAACGACCGCUAAUACCCCAUAUGCCUAUUGGUGAAAUGAAUUUCGCCUGAGGAUGAGCUCGCGUCUGAUUAGCUAGUUGGUGAGGUAAUGGCUCACCAAGGCUUCGAUCAGUAGCUGGUCUGAGAGGAUGAUCAGCCACACUGGGACUGAGACACGGCCCAGACUCCUACGGGAGGCAGCAGUGGGGAAUUUUCCGCAAUGGGCGAAAGCCUGACGGAGCAACGCCGCGUGAGGGACGAAGGCCUCUGGGCUGUAAACCUCUUUUCUCAAGGAAGAAGAUAUGACGGUACUUGAGGAAUAAGCCACGGC
RNAcentral lists this ribosomal RNA (418 nucleotides) under uncultured Prochlorococcus sp. RNAcentral's name for it is "bacterial SSU rRNA". It matches the Rfam family "Bacterial small subunit ribosomal RNA", at positions 32 to 497 of the family's 1533-position model. Lineage: Bacteria; Bacillati; Cyanobacteriota; Cyanophyceae; Synechococcales; Prochlorococcaceae. The record is from RNAcentral.